UACGUAGGGGGCAAGCGUUGUCCGGAUUUAUUGGGCGUAAAGAGCGUGUAGGCGGCCUGAAAGGUCAGCUGUGAAAACUCGAGGCUCAACCUCGAGACGUCGGUUGAAACCAUCUGGCUAGAGUCCGGAAGAGGAGUGUGGAAUUCCCGGUGUAGCGGUGAAAUGCGCAGAUAUCGGGAAGAACACCCGUGGCGAAGGCGGCACUCUGGGCCUGUACUGACGCUGAGGAGCGAAAGCGUGGGGAGCGAACAGG
RNAcentral lists this ribosomal RNA (253 nucleotides) under uncultured bacterium. RNAcentral's name for it is "partial 16S ribosomal RNA". It matches the Rfam family "Bacterial small subunit ribosomal RNA", at positions 524 to 776 of the family's 1533-position model. The record is from RNAcentral.